This 576-nucleotide ribosomal RNA is filed under the name uncultured eukaryote. RNAcentral's name for it is "bacterial SSU rRNA". It matches the Rfam family "Eukaryotic small subunit ribosomal RNA", at positions 203 to 771 of the family's 1831-position model. The record is from RNAcentral.
UAUUUAUUAGAUAACAAGCCAAUAUUCCUCUGGUCUAUUGUGGUGACUCAUAAUAACUGAUCGAAUCGCAAGGUCUUUGACCGCGAUAAGUCAUUCAAGUUUCUGCCCCAUCAGCUUUCGAUGGUAGUGUAUUGGACUACCAUGGCGUUUACGGGUAACGGAGGAUUAGGGUUCGAUUCCGGAGAGGGAGCCUGAGAAACGGCUACCACAUCUAAGGAAGGCGGCAGGCGCGAAAAUUACCCAAUCCCCACUCCGGGAGGUAGUGACAAGAACAAGAAAUAACAAUACUUGGGGUUUUCAUGUCUGGAAAGAGCCUAAUUUCCACUCCUACCCAUUAACCGAUUCAAUUGGAGGGCAAGUCUGGUGCCAGCAGCCGCGGUAAUACCACCUCCAAUAGCGUAUAUUAAUGUUGCUGCAGUUAAAAAGCUCGUAUUUGGAUUUCUGACCAGGAGCGCCUGGCCCGUGGCCGAAGGCUCAUGAGCGCCUGAGCGCUUCGGUCAUCCGUCUAGAGACCUUUACUGCCCUUCACUGGGUUGGUGAACAGAAUCUAGGCCAUUUACUAUGAAGAAAGUAGAG